GUGUGUUCUUAUCUUAGGUUGUGUUUAAAAGACAGAGACAAAAGGAGAUGAGUGGAGCUACUUCUACAUGUUCUUUCAUUGAGUCUCCAUGUGCAGCAGUACACACAUCCUCUGUGUCUAACAAAGGAAAUAUUUAUGUUUUAUGUAGUAGUGGAUCUCUCCUGGAGGAGAUGGUCUCCGAAGAUAACAGGCUUCACACUGAUCAACGGAAUGAUAAACCCAGUUCAUUAACAGUGCUCACAAUGAGAUGUUGCAAAACAUUGUCCGCGACAGUGUGCAACCAAGGGAGAAAUGCAUUAUCGUGAUGGACACAGGUGAUCAGAACGCGUGGGCUGUGAAGAAAACAGCACGGGAAUGUCAGGAGCACGGCUG
Molecule: long non-coding RNA, 372 nt
Filed under: Salmo salar (Atlantic salmon)
Lineage: Eukaryota; Metazoa; Chordata; Actinopteri; Salmoniformes; Salmonidae
Description: lncRNA (ENSSSAG00000112157.1)
Source: RNAcentral